This 31-nucleotide non-coding RNA is filed under the name Rattus norvegicus (Norway rat). Lineage: Eukaryota; Metazoa; Chordata; Mammalia; Rodentia; Muridae. The record is from RNAcentral.
UGGAACGACAAAGCUACGAGUAACGUCCAAU